Molecule: ribosomal RNA, 300 nt
Filed under: uncultured Thermotoga sp.
Lineage: Bacteria; Thermotogati; Thermotogota; Thermotogae; Thermotogales; Thermotogaceae
Description: bacterial SSU rRNA
Rfam family: Bacterial small subunit ribosomal RNA
Source: RNAcentral
UGUACCUGCUGGCGUUACGCGGUGGUGAUACAUGUGGGUCUAGGGUUAUUCGGUUUUCCUAGUCGUAAAUGUUUCGUAGGCGGCUGAUUAAGUCUGAUGUUCAAUCCCUGAGCUUAACUUAGGAAUUGCAUUCGCUACUGGUCAGCUAGAGUAUGGGAGAGGAUUGUAGAAUUCCAGGUGUAGCGGUGACAUGCGUAGAGAUCUGGAGGAAUACCGAUGGCGAAGGCAGCCAUCUGGCCUAAUACUGACGCUGAGGUACGAAAGCAUGGGGAGCAAACAGGAUUAGAUACCCUAGUAGUC